This is a non-coding RNA of Pantherophis guttatus, 2497 nucleotides long. Lineage: Eukaryota; Metazoa; Chordata; Lepidosauria; Squamata; Colubridae. The record is from RefSeq and is a predicted model, not a curated record.
AGCUCAGCGUCUUAGCCACUAAGCCACCACAUCCCGGGAAGGACGAUAGGCGAUGUCAUUUAUUUUAUUUUUAUUUUUUUUGCCUUCCCACUGAGAUUUUUCACAGCUCUUCUGAGCGAAAAGAGGGAGGUGUUAAUCUUUUGAAGAAAUGUCAGGUUUCUCCUGGAGCUGAGAAGAUGCUUUCGCAGUUUGCGAAGCUCCGAUUCUAGGCUGUUUUCUUAAUUCUUCUUCUCCCCUCCGCCCCCCUUCUAGCAUCCACCAGGAAUACGGGAAAAGUAUCAUCCGUUUUCAGUUGGAAAGGGCACACGCUUGUAAAUGAAUAUAUAUAUAUAUAUGCCUCUCGCUAUCUCGCCACCAAGCCUUCAGUCCAAAGUCUAACAUUACUUCAACUGCGGAAGCCACGAUUAAGUAAAGGGGAAUAACAGCUAAUUUAAUUGGCUGUUUGGAAUCGAGGCUGGGGAAAACCUGUUCUCCUUAUUUGAAAGCGAGGGUAGGAAGAGGGAGACAGAUUAAAGCGUUGCAAAUCACAGGGUUGAGGCCUGCUGGAAAACGAACAUUGCUCGGCUCUGUUUUUUUUAAAAUAGGUGUACCACUGGAAAUGUUGGAUGUCAGAAAAGCUAGACAGCAUCUGGUCGAAGAAUGUAAUCCUUGCUGCGUGGGAAGACCAAAGCUGUCAAGCAGCUCGAGCCCUUUUCGGCCAAUCCAGUCGGGUGAUUCAAGGCACCGAGAGCAGCAUCGACAGGUGUCCAACCUGGUGAUUUGCUCGUGGCAUCGGAUUCCCCAAAAAAUUCACAAGUAAUCCGCUGCCUCCUUGGUGACUCAGGAAGGAAGGUCUACUGGCUGUAGAAGACCAUCAAGGUGAAGAUUCUGAAAGACGUCCAAGAGAAGCUGUUGGGUUCCUUCUAUCGGUGCAGCUUUAAUAGCAACCAACCUGAGAAAAAUAGUCCCAACACAGCCUCCAGGUUUUUGUAGUCUAUUUAGGGACCACUCUCUUGAUAUUAGGAGAGUUGGUCAUGUUCUCUAUGAAGUCCAUCAUGGUCCAAACACUUGGGAUUCCACAUAACAUUCUCGACGUACCGGACUGCGAACUCCUACUUGGCUCGGCUUCACAGCUGCCUUGAAAACUCAAUACUCCCAGUUUCAACCAAGAACCCAUUCCGAAUCUUCCCUGGAUGCCCAGAAAUGAGAUCCCCUGAUUAUUACUGUGUUUUCCCCGAAAAUAAGACCCUGUCUUGUAUUUUUUUUUUUUGAACCCUGAAAUAAGCACUUAGCCCAGAGAUGGGUUUCAGCAGGUUCUGACCAGUUCUGGAGAACCAGUAGUGGAAAUUUUGAGUAGUUCAGAGAACCGGUAGUAAAAAUUCUGACUGGUCCCGUCCCCAUCUAUUCUCUGCCUCCCGAGUCCUUGUUGACUGGGAGGAAAUGGGGAUUUUGCAGUAUCCUUCCCCUGGAGUGGGGUGGGAAUGGAGAUUUUACAGUAUCCUUCCCCUGCCACGCCCACCAAGCCACGCCCACAGAACCGGUAGUAAAAAAAACUUGAAACCCACCACUGGCUUGGCCUUAUUACCAAUUGGGCUUAUUAUCAGGGGAUGUCUUAUUUUGGGGGGGAAACAGUAUUAUUUUUUUUAUAAUUGCACAUUAGUAUCUUCAAAACGGUAAUGUUAAGUUAGCUUGGCAAGAUGCAGGGAGAACGCAAACCACACCUGUCUCCCUCUUGUGGCAAGAGAGAAUAAUUGCAGCUGCAUUCAAGAGAUGCCCAACAUUGAGAUAUUUAACAGAUUAACAGAGGCGGGAAGGGACCUUGUAGGUCAUCUAGUCCAACCCUCCACCCUACCCAAGCAGGAGACCCUACACCAUUUCUGACAUUUAGUGCUCGCUCUCUCCCUCUCUCACACACACAAACUUGUUACACAAUCAACUUGAAGUUAUGGCUGUUCCAACACUGGAGGUUUGGGGGCCUUUUUUCAGGCCGUUUUCCGGGCCCUUUUCAGGCCAUUUUCUGAGGCAUUUUGCAAGCCAUUUUCAGGCAGUUUUUUGGGCCGUUUUCAGGCCAAAAACGGCCCAAGAAACUGUCUGAAAAUGGCUUGGAAAACGGCCUGAAAACAGCCAAAAACCAAGCCAUUUUUCAGGCUGUUUUCCGGGCCUUUCCGGGUAGCCAUUUUGAGCACAGCGCGGGGUUACAUUCAGAAUAUAAGAUGCAAAUUUUCAGCCUCUUUUAGGAUGGAAAAAAGUGCGUCUUAUACUCCAAAAAAUACAGUAUAUAUAGUUUGAAAGUUUGCCCUCUGUUUGCCCCACCCACUCAAUUUCUAAAAAGUUCUAAUUUGGGGAACCUCAUUAGUAUGAUCUUAACACACCAAAAGGUAGAAUUUGGAAGUCAACAACACCACAGAACCCAAAGAGAAUCUUUCUGAAGUUGCCAGACGUUUACUAACAGGGGCGGACGAGUUAGGAAGGGAGGGGGGAGGGUCGGUUGGCCGUGCAUCAUCAUUGAGGGGGGGGC